This 641-nucleotide ribosomal RNA is filed under the name uncultured bacterium. RNAcentral's name for it is "bacterial SSU rRNA". It matches the Rfam family "Bacterial small subunit ribosomal RNA", at positions 9 to 633 of the family's 1533-position model. The record is from RNAcentral.
GAGUUUGAUCCUGGCUCAGAUUGNACGCUGGCGGCAGGCCUAACACAUGCAAGUCGAGCGGAAACGAGUUAACUGAACCUUCGGGGAACGUUAACGGCGUCGAGCGGCGGACGGGUGAGUAAUGCCUGGGAAAUUGCCCUGAUGUGGGGGAUAACCAUUGGAAACGAUGGCUAAUACCGCAUAAUAGCUUCGGCUCAAAGAGGGGGACCUUCGGGCCUCUCGCGUCAGGAUAUGCCCAGGUGGGAUUAGCUAGUUGGUGAGGUAAUGGCUCACCAAGGCGACGAUCCCUAGCUGGUCUGAGAGGAUGAUCAGCCACACUGGAACUGAGACACGGUCCAGACUCCUACGGGAGGCAGCAGUGGGGAAUAUUGCACAAUGGGCGCAAGCCUGAUGCAGCCAUGCCGCGUGUAUGAAGAAGGCCUUCGGGUUGUAAAGUACUUUCAGCAGUGAGGAAGGUGGGUAUGUUAAUAGCAUACUCAUUUGACGUUAGCUGCANAAGAAGCACCGGCUAACUCCGUGCCAGCAGCCGCGGUAAUACGGAGGGUGCGAGCGUUUAUCGNAAUUACUGGGCGUAAAAGCGCAUGCAGGUGGUUUUGUUAAAUCAAAAUGUGAACAGCCCGCGNUGCUCANCCNUCNGANAU